UGCUAGAAAGAGCCGAUUCGCUGAAAUGAACGGUAGGCGGUCCUUCUCCUUUAAAUAUCCCAGAAUUCCUCGCACCGGUCACACGUGUUCAUUGCUUCCUGCACGCGAUCGGUUGGAGGCAGCAUGAGCGGACGCAGUAUGGGUGUUGAUGAUCCAUCUAAACCCCCUGACUGAAGAAACCUUAGUUUCUACGAUGUGUUACCUAUGAAGGCUCAAACAUUGUUUUAGCCAUGAGGCUACAGUUGUGCUGAGGAAUCUUUCUCUAGCUGUUACUUGCUAAUGGAGGAAAAUGUAAGAACUACAGUCAUUAGAUUCCAUUGAUGGCUUCAUUUUGGGGCACAUGUAUUCGGUGACUGGUUGCUUGUUCCUCAGCAGUGAUGCAACUUGAAUGGAGCUAAUUUUAUUGCUAUGUCUGGAGCAAUAAAAUGAAACGUCUGAAAUGAACAUUUGUUGUAAACAUCUGUUUAUGCAUUACAUAAAUGUUUUUAUGUAUUGAUUGUUACCAAUAAAGAAAUGCUUGCUUGUAA
Cyprinus carpio (common carp) is the source of this 527-nucleotide long non-coding RNA. RefSeq lists it as uncharacterized. The record is from RefSeq and is a predicted model, not a curated record. NCBI's taxonomy places the organism in Eukaryota, Metazoa, Chordata, Actinopteri, Cypriniformes, Cyprinidae.